This is a long non-coding RNA of Jaculus jaculus (lesser Egyptian jerboa), 287 nucleotides long. RefSeq lists it as uncharacterized. The record is from RefSeq and is a predicted model, not a curated record. The transcript is spliced from 3 exons. Lineage: Eukaryota; Metazoa; Chordata; Mammalia; Rodentia; Dipodidae.
AUGCAAGGGAGGCUGUCCCCAAGGAACAGAGCCCCUGGACGUUGCUAAAGGUGGCUGGCAGGAGGAACAGCUGGUUUAUAAACGUUCCGGUAAGGGAUGAACGCGUACUCUUCUGCAUGAUUCCGGAGCCUGCGAUCCUAAAUGCCACAAUGACUAUUAAACAGUGUCCUGCCCAUGAGCAAACAGGAGGGAGCCGAGAUCAACCUAAUUCUGCCUGAGCGUUGGCCACUCCAUGGAAAAAAAAAGCUUCAGCGCUGUGCUCAUCCAAUCAGAGACUACCUUGCCCC